This 449-nucleotide ribosomal RNA is filed under the name uncultured bacterium. RNAcentral's name for it is "bacterial SSU rRNA". It matches the Rfam family "Bacterial small subunit ribosomal RNA", at positions 349 to 793 of the family's 1533-position model. The record is from RNAcentral.
CAGCAGUAGGGAAUAUUGGUCAAUGGGCGAAAGCCUGAACCAGCCAUGCCGCGUGUCAGAUGAAGGUCCUCUGGAUUGUAAAUGACUUUUCUACGGGAAGAAUGAGCCGUCUGCGGACGGAAGUUGACGGUACCGUAGGAAUAAGCACCGGCUAACUACGUGCCAGCAGCCGCGGUAAUACGUAGGGUGCAAGCGUUGUCCGGAUUUACUGGGUUUAAAGGGUACGUAGGCGGUUGUGCCAAGUCUGGGGUGAAAGUUUGCAGCUCAACUGUAAAAUUGCCUUGGAUACUGGUCGGCUAGAGUAGUGGAGCGGUGGCUGGAAUUUAUAGUGUAGCGGUGAAAUGCUUAGAUACUAUGAGGAACACCAAUUGCGAAGGCAGGUUACUGGUCACUAACUGACGCUGAGGUACGAAAGUGUGGGGAUCAAACAGGAUUAGAUACCCUGGUAG